GUGCCAGCAGCCGCGGUAAUACGUAGGGGGCAAGCGUUAUCCGGAUUCAUUGGGCGUAAAGCGCUCGUAGGCGGUCCGUUAGGUCGGGAGUUAAAUCCGGGGGCUCAACCCCCGCCCGCUCCCGAUACCGGCGGACUUGAGUUUGGUAGGGGAAAGUGGAAUUCCCAGUGUAGCGGUGGAAUGCGCAGAUAUUGGGAAGAACACCGGUGGCGAAGGCGGCUUUCUGGGCCACAACUGACGCUGAGGAACGAAAGCUAGGGUCUCGAACCGGAUUAGAUACCCCUGUAGUCC
RNAcentral lists this ribosomal RNA (291 nucleotides) under uncultured prokaryote. RNAcentral describes it as "partial 16S ribosomal RNA". It matches the Rfam family "Bacterial small subunit ribosomal RNA", at positions 505 to 796 of the family's 1533-position model. The record is from RNAcentral.